Molecule: ribosomal RNA, 253 nt
Filed under: uncultured bacterium
Lineage: Bacteria
Description: partial 16S ribosomal RNA
Rfam family: Bacterial small subunit ribosomal RNA
Source: RNAcentral
UACGUAGGGAGCAAGCGUUGUCCGGAAUCAUUGGGCGUAAAGCGCGCGUAGGCGGCCUCAUAAGUCCGUUGUGAAAGUCAAAGGCUCAACCUUUGAAAGCCGAUGGAUACUGUGAGGCUAGAGUCCGGAAGAGGCGAGUGGAAUUCCUGGUGUAGCGGUGGAAUGCGCAGAUAUCAGGAGGAACACCGGUGGCGAAGGCGGUUCUCUGGGCAUUACCUGACGCUGAGGAGCGAAAGUGUGGGGAGCGAACAGG